RNAcentral lists this ribosomal RNA (468 nucleotides) under uncultured bacterium. RNAcentral describes it as "partial 16S ribosomal RNA". It matches the Rfam family "Bacterial small subunit ribosomal RNA", at positions 28 to 507 of the family's 1533-position model. The record is from RNAcentral.
GACGAACGCUGGCGGCGUGCUUAACACAUGCAAGUCGAACGGAAAGGCCCUGCUUUUGUGGGGUGCUCGAGUGGCGAACGGGUGAGUAACACGUGAGUAACCUGCCCUUGACUUUGGGAUAACUUCAGGAAACUGGGGCUAAUACCGGAUAGGAGCUCCUGCUGCAUGGUGGGGGUUGGAAAGUUUCGGCGGUUGGGGAUGGACUCGCGGCUUAUCAGCUUGUUGGUGGGGUAGUGGCUUACCAAGGCUUUGACGGGUAGCCGGCCUGUGAGGGUGACCGGCGACAUUGGGACUGAGAUACGGCCCAGACUGCUACGGGAGGCAGCAGUGGCGAAUAUUGCACGAUGGGCGGACGCCUGAUGCAGCAACGCCGCGUGCGGGAUGACGGCCUUCGGGUUGUAAACCGCUUUCGCCUGUGACGAAGCGUGAGUGACGGUAAUGGGUAAAGAAGCACCGGCUAAAUACGUG